Benincasa hispida (wax gourd) is the source of this 584-nucleotide long non-coding RNA. RefSeq lists it as uncharacterized. The record is from RefSeq and is a predicted model, not a curated record. NCBI's taxonomy places the organism in Eukaryota, Viridiplantae, Streptophyta, Magnoliopsida, Cucurbitales, Cucurbitaceae.
ACAGCUGCAGCCCACAAGCGAGUAGUGAUUCUCAGAGUCCCUUGGAGCAGCUUUAGUCACAGUCCCAUCAGCAGAAAUAUUGAAGUCUUUCGUUGGAAAAGCACCAAACCAGACAUUAGGAGGCACUGUAUACUGAGAAUUUGCUUGAAAUCAAGUCGUAUCGUCAUUGGUUUGCAAGAGGUUAAACAUCAAGAUGUUGGCAUUCAUAGGUUAGUAAGAAUCGUUGUAGCCUGUACACCAUCAAUGGAAAGGUCGCUCAUGUAGUGGUCGACGUCCCGAGGUCUAGCAGUUCUGCCAGUUAGUCACUUCUCAAGAACAUUAGGGACUUAAAGCUUAAGUGGCACAUCACGUCUUUGUUAAACUUGAGGCUUAUGUUCAUAUUGUGGGAAGUCAGGGUAGAGUUUUUAUGGUUGUUGUAAAUAGACUUACUAGACCCUUUAACUGUGAUAUAUAUGAGUAAGUGUUCUGUUGUACGAGAAUCUGUAUGUUUAAGUCGUGUUGACUAUGUGGUAAUGGUCUGUUAUAAGAUAUAGAUUGUUUAUCAGAUACCAAGGGCGUUGGUUCAUGGAAGUAUAUUGGCAAUA